This 454-nucleotide ribosomal RNA is filed under the name uncultured bacterium. RNAcentral describes it as "bacterial SSU rRNA". It matches the Rfam family "Bacterial small subunit ribosomal RNA", at positions 923 to 1379 of the family's 1533-position model. The record is from RNAcentral.
GCACAAGCUGGAGCAUGUGGUUUAAUUCGACGCAACGCGAAGAACCUUACCUGGGCUCGAAAUGUAGUGGAAUCCGGCAGAAACGUCGGCGUCUAGCAAUAGACCGCUAUAUAGGUGCUGCAUGGCUGUCGUCAGCUCGUGUCGUGAGAUGUUGGGUUAAGUCCCGCAACGAGCGCAACCCUUAUCUACAGUUGCUACCAUUUAGUUGAGCACUCUGUCGAAACCGCCUCGGAUAACGGGGAGGAAGGUGGGGAUGACGUCAAGUCCUCAUGGCCUUUAUGUCCAGGGCUACACACGUGCUACAAUGGCCGGUACAAACCGCUGCAAACCCGCGAGGGGGAGCUAAUCGGAAAAAGCCGGCCUCAGUUCGGAUUGGAGUCUGCAACUCGACUCCAUGAAGCUGGAAUCGCUAGUAAUCGUGGAUCAGCAUGCCACGGUGAAUACGUUCCCGGGC